UACCAGCUCCUCGAGUGGUUGGGACGAUUAUUGGGGUUUAAAGCGUUCGUAGCCGGUCGGAAAAGUUCUCCGUUAAAUCCAACGAUCCAAUCGUUGGGCUGCGGGGAAUACUCUUCGGCUUGGGGGCGGGGGAGGUCGACGGUAGUCCCGGGGUAGGGGCGAAAUCCUAUAAUCCCGGGAGGACCACCAGUGGCGUAGGCGGUCGACUAAAACGCGCCCGACGGUGAGGGACGAAAGCUGGGGGAGCGAACGGGAUUAGAUACCCCGGUAGUCCCAGCUGUAAACGAUGCAGGCUAGGUGUUGGGACGGCUACGGGCCGUCUCAGUGCCGCAGGGUAACCAUUAAGCCUGCCACCUGGGAAGUACGGCCGCAAGGCUGAAACUUAAAGGAAUUGGCGGGGGAGCACCACAAGGGGUGAAGCUUGCGGUUUAAUUGGAGUCAACACCGGGAACCUUACCAGGAGCGACAGUUGGAUGAAGGUCAGAUUGAAGGUCUUACCGGACUAGCUGAGAGGAGGUGCAUGGCCGUCGCCAGUUCGUGCCGUGAGGUGUCCUCUUAAGUGAGACAACGAACGAGACCCGCACCAUCAGUUGCCAGCGGUUUCCUUCGGGAUUCUGGGCACACUGAUGGGACUGCCUCCGCUAAGGAGGAGGAAGGAGCGGGCCACGGCAGGUCAGUAUGCCCCAAAUCUCCUGGGCCACACGCGAGCUGCAAUGGCUGGUACAAUGGGAUCUGACCUCGAGAGAGGAAAGCAAUCCUCAAAACCAGCCUCAGUUGGGAUCGAGGGCUGAAACCCGCCCUCGUGAACAUGGAAUCCCUAGUAACCGCGUGUCAUCAUCGCGCGGUGAAUACGUCCCUGCUCCU
RNAcentral lists this ribosomal RNA (864 nucleotides) under uncultured archaeon. Its description in RNAcentral is "SSU rRNA". It matches the Rfam family "Archaeal small subunit ribosomal RNA", at positions 474 to 1337 of the family's 1478-position model. The record is from RNAcentral.